This 427-nucleotide ribosomal RNA is filed under the name uncultured bacterium. Its description in RNAcentral is "partial 16S ribosomal RNA". It matches the Rfam family "Bacterial small subunit ribosomal RNA", at positions 355 to 774 of the family's 1533-position model. The record is from RNAcentral.
UGGGGAAUAUUGCACAAUGGACGCAAGCCUGAUGCAGCCAUGCCGCGUGUAUGAAGAAGGCCUUCGGGUUGUAAAGUACUUUCAGCGGGGAGGAAGGUGUUGAGGUUAAUAACCUCAGCAAUUGACGUUACCCGCAGAAGAAGCACCGGCUAACUCCGUGCCAGCAGCCGCGGUAAUACGGAGGGUGCAAGCGUUAAUCGGAAUUACUGGGCGUAAAGCGCACGCAGGCGGUCUGUCAAGUCGGAUGUGAAAUCCCCGGGCUCAACCUGGGAACUGCAUUCGAAACUGGCAGGCUAGAGUCUUGUAGAGGGGGGUAGAAUUCCAGGUGUAGCGGUGAAAUGCGUAGAGAUCUGGAGGAAUACCGGUGGCGAAGGCGGCCCCCUGGACAAAGACUGACGCUCAGGUGCGAAAGCGUGGGGAGCAAACA